Molecule: long non-coding RNA, 879 nt
Filed under: Hordeum vulgare
Lineage: Eukaryota; Viridiplantae; Streptophyta; Magnoliopsida; Poales; Poaceae
Description: long non-coding RNA (HVUL_LNC003273)
Source: RNAcentral
AAGGAAGCAGCCAGUAGAGCAUCGCCGUUUGUCACCCGAAAGCUGUAUUGAUACAGUGUACCUAUCCCAAAGUCCUUCCGGUCGCACUCCGUCCCCUUCAGCAUUUCGCCAUUAUCUGAAGCCACCACAUGCUGACAUGCAUAGCCCUGACUCGCCGCGUAGCGCUAGAUAUUUUAGUAGUAAUCGUUCCUGAAAAACAGUUUCCUUCCUUCCAAUGUCCGAGGAGUUAAAACUGAAUAUACAUACACGCAAGUCCAGCAAUCUGAAGACCAAGAACGAGAAAUGAUUUAAACAUACCAAGUUACCAAAUCCAGUGAUAAUAAACCUCGAUUGAAAGUGAUUUCGGAUAGUUUGAGAUGUUACCUGACAUGGGUUCACUCCAUGGACAAGAAAAGCAAGAAACCGUGCACCACGCACGAUGAAUCUUCCUAGGCCCGCCUCGUAAAAAUCCAGCGACACAUGUCACACACACACUUGUGAUACACAGCUCUUAUCCAAACCGGAACACGACAACUCUAUCCGCAUGGCUGGUUAGAUGUUGCAUUUGGACGAUAGUUCAAAAAUUAGCGUGUAAUAUAUCGAGCAUUUUUUUCUUCUGAUUUUUAGUAAUAAAAGAGCUAAUGUUUCUAUGGACCAAUCUAAUUUUUUUUCUCGCUUCUCCUUUUUCCUUCUGUAGUCUGUGCCACGCAGCAGCACUGACGAAGGUCGUAAACCUGGAGGAGUGAAGCACAGAACGGAGUGAACCGACGCGCGCGCACCACCGUUUACAGUUAGCCAACGAAUCUCUGCCAAUCGCCAUGCUCGCCUACCUCCUCCACGCGCCCGCCGCCGCCGCCGCGGCGCCCAGCCCGCUCGCCCUCCGCGGGCCGCUNNNNNNNN